RNAcentral lists this ribosomal RNA (504 nucleotides) under uncultured bacterium. RNAcentral describes it as "partial 16S ribosomal RNA". It matches the Rfam family "Bacterial small subunit ribosomal RNA", at positions 28 to 506 of the family's 1533-position model. The record is from RNAcentral.
GACGAACGCUGGCGGCGUGCCUAAUACAUGCAAGUAGAACGCACAGUUUAUACCGUAGCUUGCUACACCAUAGACUGUGAGUUGCGAACGGGUGAGUAACGCGUAGGUAACCUGCCUGGUAGCGGGGGAUAACUAUUGGAAACGAUAGCUAAUACCGCAUAAUAUUAAUUAUUGCAUGAUAAUUGAUUGAAAGAUGCAACUGCAUCACUACCAGAUGGACCUGCGUUGUAUUAGCUAGUAGGUGAGGUAACGGCUCACCUAGGCGACGAUACAUAGCCGACCUGAGAGGGUGAUCGGCCACACUGGGACUGAGACACGGCCCAGACUCCUACGGGAGGCAGCAGUAGGGAAUCUUCGGCAAAGGACGAAAGUCUGACCGAGCAACGCCGCGUGAGUGAAGAAGGUUUUCGGAUCGUAAAGCUCUGUUGUAAGAGAAGAACGGGUGUGAGAGUGGAAAGUUCACACUGUGACGGUAUCUUACCAGAAAGGGACGGCUAACUACGU